This 196-nucleotide small nuclear RNA is filed under the name Gossypium hirsutum (cotton). RNAcentral's name for it is "U2 spliceosomal RNA". It matches the Rfam family "U2 spliceosomal RNA". From Rfam's summary of the family: U2 is a small nuclear RNA (snRNA) component of the spliceosome (involved in pre-mRNA splicing). Complementary binding between U2 snRNA (in an area lying towards the 5' end but 3' to hairpin I) and the branchpoint sequence (BPS) of the intron results the bulging out of an unpaired adenosine, on the BPS, which initiates a nucleophilic attack at the intronic 5' splice site, thus starting the first of two transesterification reactions that mediate splicing. The record is from Rfam by way of RNAcentral. Lineage: Eukaryota; Viridiplantae; Streptophyta; Magnoliopsida; Malvales; Malvaceae.
AUCCCUUUCUCGGCCUUUUGGCUAAGAUCAAGUUUAGUAUCUGUUCUUAUCAGUUUAAUAUCUGAUACGUGGGCCAUUGGCUCACAUGAUAUUAAAAUUAUUUUUAAAGGGGGAGAGUCCAUCACAGUAGCUAGCUACUGGGGCUCUUGAGCGUCGCCCAGGCGUUGCACUAUAGCUCGGGCCUGGCGCACUUCAC